RNAcentral lists this long non-coding RNA (709 nucleotides) under Brassica napus (rape). Its description in RNAcentral is "long non-coding RNA (BNAP_LNC005840)". The record is from RNAcentral. Lineage: Eukaryota; Viridiplantae; Streptophyta; Magnoliopsida; Brassicales; Brassicaceae.
UAGAAUCAUUUUUAGAAUAAAAAAAAUUAAAAGAGUGAAAAAAAAAAUAAUAAUAAAAAAAUAAAAAAAUUCCUAGUUGGCUAAAAUAAGAAAUGAGAAUGUGUUCAUUGGGUGAGAGAUGAAAGUGAGUGUAUCUCUGGGCUUUGGGAUGAUGAAAAGAAGAAGGGUAGAAUUUGAAAUUACUUAGAAAAGGGGUAGAAUGAUGAGAACAAACAUUGUAUGCAUGAAUUGCUCCUUUUCUUAGAUACAUUUUGCAUAAUGAUUUUGCUCCUAUUCUUGAGUGUGAGUCACUAUAAAUGAUGCAAUUGAAACCCAUUUUCUUCACAUUAGACCAUCUCUCUCACCAAGCCAAAUGAUUGAGAUCAAAUAUCCUUUUGCAAGAAUUCACAUUGUGUGUGUUGAAAUGAAUGUGAGGGUUGGCUAAAGAACUUGUUGAUUGAUGAGUAAAUGACUUGGGUUGAGGCAUAAGAGUCUUGAUAGGCCUUGAGAAGCUAGAGUGUACUAAGAGAAUUGCUCAUGCUAUUUGUUAUGUUUCUCUUAGGAUGUUAGGUUGAAGGCUAGAAAGUAUAUCUUUUGGUUAUAAGCUCCCAUCUUUAUAUCUCUCCUUCUUGAGUUUUUGAAAAGUUUACUUGAGGACAAGUAAAGGACUAGUGUGGGGGAGUUGAUAUCUCAUGAUUUUUAUAAGUUUUAGAUUCAUAUUUUAGCUUAU